GCCUUCAUAGUGUAGUGGUCAGCACGCUCGACGUGUAACCGAGAGGUACGUGGUUCAAUUCCCGUUGAAGGCG
This 73-nucleotide transfer RNA is filed under the name Stegodyphus mimosarum. It matches the Rfam family "tRNA". Rfam says of the family: Transfer RNA (tRNA) molecules are approximately 80 nucleotides in length. Their secondary structure includes four short double-helical elements and three loops (D, anti-codon, and T loops). Lineage: Eukaryota; Metazoa; Arthropoda; Arachnida; Araneae; Eresidae. The record is from Rfam by way of RNAcentral.